This 253-nucleotide ribosomal RNA is filed under the name uncultured bacterium. RNAcentral describes it as "partial 16S ribosomal RNA". It matches the Rfam family "Bacterial small subunit ribosomal RNA", at positions 524 to 777 of the family's 1533-position model. The record is from RNAcentral.
UACGUAGGGUGCAAGCGUUGUCCGGAAUUAUUGGGCGUAAAGGGCUCGUAGGCGGUCUGUCACGUCGGGAGUGAAACUCAGGGCUUAACCCUGAGCCUGCUUCCGAUACGGGCAGACUAGAGGUAUGCAGGGGAGAACGGAAUUCCUGGUGUAGCGGUGAAAUGCGCAGAUAUCAGGAGGAACACCGGUGGCGAAGGCGGUUCUCUGGGCAUGUCCUGACGCUGAGGAGCGAAAGUGUGGGGAGCGAACAGGA